Molecule: ribosomal RNA, 269 nt
Filed under: uncultured Glomus
Lineage: Eukaryota; Fungi; Glomeromycota; Glomeromycetes; Glomerales; Glomeraceae
Description: partial 18S ribosomal RNA
Rfam family: Eukaryotic small subunit ribosomal RNA
Source: RNAcentral
AGCAGCCGCGGUAAUUCCAGCUCCAAUAGCGUAUAUUAAAGUUGCUGCAGUUAAAAAGCUCGUAGUUGAAUUUCGGGAUUAAUAUGUUGGUCGUGCCUCGGUACGUACUAGCUUAUUGGUUUCUUCCUUCUGACGAACCAUGAUGUCAUUUAUUUGGUGUUAUGAGGAAUCAGGACUAGGUUACUUUGAAAAAAUUAGAGUGUUUAAAGCAGGCUCACGCUUGAAUACAUUAGCAUGGAAUAAUGAAAUAGGACGUUUGAUUCUAUUUU